Molecule: long non-coding RNA, 1384 nt
Filed under: Triticum aestivum (bread wheat)
Lineage: Eukaryota; Viridiplantae; Streptophyta; Magnoliopsida; Poales; Poaceae
Description: long non-coding RNA (TAES_LNC022848)
Source: RNAcentral
ACUCGACACAGAGCUUCUUGUCGCUGUGAGUGAUGGGCAUCUAAUCGCCCUGGACCCCCGGAUGGCUGUAGCAAGCUCCUCAGUUAGAAUUGAAUCACCAGACUUGGAGCAAGAUAGGUGUAAACAAAGAGAAAAACAAUACAAGCUCACUAAUAAUAGACUGAUGGUAUUUCUUAUACAGAAACUGAAACUAAUGACUGCUAGAAUUCCACCAUUCUACCGAUGUUACAAGCACCUAAAGUCACUAUUAUUCCAAAUAACACCACCGUUACUGAAGCAAGCAACAAACUAAACUCUAGAACAUCAAAGGACAAUAAGAUCAAUCCAUCUCUGAAGCUCGCAUGACAGAAAUGCCAACUUCUAACCUAGUUCAAAGAUAUUGUAUGUAAUAGAUUGGCAUCAUUAUGUCUAAUAUGCAAUAAAUUAUGCAACAAAUAGAAUCCAAUAAAUCCAGUAAAUCUAAUUUCAUGCUUCUAUGUAUAUUAGUUUUUUAGAUUUAAGAGGAGAAAUAUUUCAUGAACAUUUAAAGUCCUCAUGCUUAGAAUUAGACGACACAAGCAUUAGAACUGCAUUUGUUCGAUCCUUGAGUGAAACCUUUCUACUCCCAAGAAAAGAAAAAGAGAAGAUAAGUGUAAUCUAGAUGUGGCAUCAAUAGCAUAGCUAGAAAGUAUAUAUAGAUGGAGUUGUUCGAGACUGACUUACCAUUUUGCAUUGAAGUUUGCAAAUAAAACAUUUUUAUAUUUGAACAAGGGGACUUGUAAACCUCUGAACCAGGAACAGACAUUUCUUUAAGAUUUAACAAAUAGCAGCAGAAACUCUGCAUGAAACAAACAAUUCUGAUGCACUGAGAUAAACAACUCCAAUGUACUUGUUCAUAUGAAGGUGAUCCAGUAGAUGGACUAACACAGACAACAGUAAGCAUACCUCUUGUCAAUCUGCACUUCAGAGCCUAGUUACUUUUUGAGCCAAUAUAUGCAUCAAUUCAGGAUCCUCCGCUGUAUAAACCUGGUAUCAUGAAGAAAGGAAAAAAUAAGCAUACCUUUUCUCAAUCUGCACUUAGGAGCCUAGAUUUUGUAUCAAUAUCAAUAUGAAAACUGAAGCAAUAUACAUUGGCAUACCAGGAAGAAAGGCAACACUACUCAGCAACACAUAGCCCAUACACCUGAGAGCUAUCAGCAUCCAUGUGACCUUGAAACUGCAUAAGGAAAUAUCAUAGCAAAAUUUUAAUAUUGUCUGAUAGGACACAACAGGCAUGUAUCUUGCUAAGAAAGUUGACAAUCAGCUUGUAAAAAAAGUACCAUGCUAGUUGCAAACCAACCUUCAGUAUCAUCUUUGUAUCAUUAUGUACCAAAGCUCCCUACUUUAUAUUAGCCUAACAAACCUG